RNAcentral lists this transfer RNA (76 nucleotides) under Gammaproteobacteria bacterium. Its description in RNAcentral is "tRNA-Arg". It matches the Rfam family "tRNA". From Rfam's summary of the family: Transfer RNA (tRNA) molecules are approximately 80 nucleotides in length. Their secondary structure includes four short double-helical elements and three loops (D, anti-codon, and T loops). Further hydrogen bonds mediate the characteristic L-shaped molecular structure. tRNAs have two regions of fundamental functional importance: the anti-codon, which is responsible for specific mRNA codon recognition, and the 3' end, to which the tRNAs corresponding amino acid is attached (by aminoacyl-tRNA synthetases). tRNAs cope with the degeneracy of the genetic code in two manners: having more than one tRNA (with a specific anti-codon) for a particular amino acid; and 'wobble' base-pairing, i.e. permitting non-standard base-pairing at the 3rd anti-codon position. Lineage: Bacteria; Pseudomonadati; Pseudomonadota; Gammaproteobacteria. RNAcentral also lists the same sequence under 4 other names. The record is from RNAcentral.
GCCCCGAUAGCUCAGUGGAUAGAGCAGUAGCCUUCUAAGCUAUUGGUCGGGGGUUCGAGUCCUCCUCGGGGCGCCA